RNAcentral lists this unclassified non-coding RNA (348 nucleotides) under soil metagenome. Its description in RNAcentral is "partial contains 5.8S ribosomal RNA, internal transcribed spacer 2, and large subunit ribosomal RNA". The stretch from base 1 to 121 matches the Rfam family "5.8S ribosomal RNA", at positions 35 to 154 of the family's 154-position model. The record is from RNAcentral.
GAUGAAGAACGUAGCGAAAUGCGAUAAGUAAUGCGAAUUGCAGAAUUUCCGUGAGUCAUCGAAUCUUUGAACGCACAUUGCGCCCUUUGGUAUUCCGAAGGGCAUGCCUGUUCGAGCGUCAUUAUCAACCCUCAAGCCUGGCUUGUUGUUGGACCUCAGGUCGCCGCUCCGGUGGACCGGUCUCAAAGACAAUGACGGCGUCCGUGGGACCCUCGGUGCAAUGAGCUUCUUCCAAAGCACGCAUCAGAGUGGGCUCGCGGGGGCCGUCUCCCCGUCAUAUUUUAUCAAGGUUGACCUCGGAUCAGGUAGGAAUACCCGCUGAACUUAAGCAUAUCAAUAAGCGGAGGA